This 431-nucleotide ribosomal RNA is filed under the name uncultured Alphaproteobacteria bacterium. RNAcentral describes it as "bacterial SSU rRNA". It matches the Rfam family "Bacterial small subunit ribosomal RNA", at positions 386 to 834 of the family's 1533-position model. The record is from RNAcentral. Lineage: Bacteria; Pseudomonadati; Pseudomonadota; Alphaproteobacteria.
ACGCAGCGAUGCCGCGUGAGUGAAGAAGGCCUUAGGGUUGUAAAACUCUUUCAGUGGUGAAGAUAAUGACGGUAACCACAGAAGAAGCUCCGGCUAACUCCGUGCCAGCAGCCGCGGUAAUACGGAGGGGGCUAACGUUGUUCGGAAUUACUGGGCGUAAAGCGCGCGUAGGCGGAUUAGACAGUUGGGGGUGAAAUCCCGGAGCUUAACUUCGGAACUGCCUUCAAUACUACUAAUCUAGAGUUCGGAAGAGGUGAGUGGAAUUCCUAGUGUAGAGGUGAAAUUCGUAGAUAUUAGGAAGAACAUCAGAGGCGAAGGCGGCUCACUGGUCCGAUACUGACGCUAAGGUGCGAAAGCGUGGGGAGCAAACAGGAUUAGAUACCCUGGUAGUCCACGCCGUAAACGAUGGAAGCUAGUUGUUGGACGGUUUA